GAUGAACGCUGGCGGCGUGCCUAAUACAUGCAAGUCGAGCGAACAGACGAGGAGCUUGCUCCUCUGACGUUAGCGGCGGACGGGUGAGUAACACGUGGAUAACCUACCUAUAAGACUGGGAUAACUUCGGGAAACCGGAGCUAAUACCGGAUAAUAUAUUGAACCGCAUGGUUCAAUAGUGAAAGACGGUUUUGCUGUCACUUAUAGAUGGAUCCGCGCCGCAUUAGCUAGUUGGUAAGGUAACGGCUUACCAAGGCAACGAUGCGUAGCCGACCUGAGAGGGUGAUCGGCCACACUGGAACUGAGACACGGUCCAGACUCCUACGGGAGGCAGCAGUAGGGAAUCUUCCGCAAUGGGCGAAAGCCUGACGGAGCAACGCCGCGCGAGUGAUGAAGGUCUUCGGAUCGUAAAACUCUGUUAUUAGGGAAGAACAAAUGUGUGAGUAACUAUGCACGUCUUGACGGUACCUAAUCAGAAAGCCACGGCUAACUACGUG
RNAcentral lists this ribosomal RNA (497 nucleotides) under uncultured bacterium. RNAcentral describes it as "partial 16S ribosomal RNA". It matches the Rfam family "Bacterial small subunit ribosomal RNA", at positions 28 to 507 of the family's 1533-position model. The record is from RNAcentral.